RNAcentral lists this ribosomal RNA (575 nucleotides) under Aspergillus aureolatus. RNAcentral describes it as "eukaryotic LSU rRNA". It matches the Rfam family "Eukaryotic large subunit ribosomal RNA", at positions 58 to 648 of the family's 3401-position model. The record is from RNAcentral. RNAcentral also lists the same sequence under 1 other name. Lineage: Eukaryota; Fungi; Ascomycota; Eurotiomycetes; Eurotiales; Aspergillaceae.
AAAGAAACCAACCGGGAUUGCCCCAGUAACGGCGAGUGAAGCGGCAAGAGCUCAAAUUUGAAAUCUGGCCCCUCCGGGGUCCGAGUUGUAAUUUGCAGAGGAUGCUUCGGGUACGGCCCCUGUCUAAGUGCCCUGGAACGGGCCGUCAGAGAGGGUGAGAAUCCCGUCUUGGGCAGGGUGCCCGUGCCCAUGUGAAGCUCCUUCGACGAGUCGAGUUGUUUGGGAAUGCAGCUCUAAAUGGGUGGUAAAUUUCAUCUAAAGCUAAAUACCGGCCGGAGACCGAUAGCGCACAAGUAGAGUGAUCGAAAGAUGAAAAGCACUUUGAAAAGAGAGUUAAACAGCACGUGAAAUUGUUGAAAGGGAAGCGCUUGCGACCAGACUCGGCCCCGGGGUUCAGCCAGCACUCGUGCUGGUGUACUUCCCCGGGGGCGGGCCAGCGUCGGUUUGGGCGGCCGGUCAAAGGCCCCAGGAAUGUAUCGCCCUCCGGGGCGUCUUAUAGCCUGGGGUGCAAUGCGGCCAGCCCGGACCGAGGAACGCGCUUCGGCACGGACGCUGGCGUAAUGGUCGCAAACGAC